AGCUAUCAUUAAGAAAUCCAUGAAGGAAAUAAAUGGAGUUUUUACUUCUAGAUCACAAUGUUGCACUCUGUUGGCUUGAUCUUAUCUUUUGUAUUAUAAUGUUUUCAUUUAGCGCUCAAUUUUACCUCAACUUAGACUUUCUGGUAAAGCUAGUUGGGCCCUGCAGAGGUUAUGUUUAUAAUGCACUGUCUAAUAUUGAUCCUAACACUGUUCUGCUAGAUGUGAUACAAUCAAAUUUGCCAAGACACGAGUUUCUGUGUCAAUUAAAUAUCACAGCCAAUCAGAAGACGGG
RNAcentral lists this unclassified non-coding RNA (292 nucleotides) under Hevea brasiliensis (rubber tree). Lineage: Eukaryota; Viridiplantae; Streptophyta; Magnoliopsida; Malpighiales; Euphorbiaceae. The record is from RNAcentral.